Molecule: long non-coding RNA, 204 nt
Filed under: Elaeis guineensis (African oil palm)
Lineage: Eukaryota; Viridiplantae; Streptophyta; Magnoliopsida; Arecales; Arecaceae
Description: long non-coding RNA (EGUI_LNC023478)
Source: RNAcentral
UUUCUUAUCAUCUCCCAAUAAACUAAGUGCAUUACAUGCAGACUGAAAAAUUUGAUGGACAAUAGAAUUUAUAGUUUUAAUUUCAUCAUAAUUUUUAGAUCUUUUUCCACAUUUAGAAGCAUUUUUAAAUAAUACAAUUCACCUGAACUUAGAUGAAUAUAAACUAUUCUAUCGAUUCGAUUUUUUAAUUUUCUUAUUGUCCAG